UACAGAGGUCUCAAGCGUUGUCCGGAUUGACUGGGCGUAAAGCGCACGCAGGCGGUUGCGCGCGUGGGGUGUGAAAUCUGGCCGCUUAACGGCCAGGCGCCAUCCCAUACGGCGCGACUGGAGUGAUGCAGAGGUCGAUGGAAUUGCCGGUGUAGUGGUGAAAUGCGUAGAGAUCGGCAGGAACACCCAGGGGGAAACCAGUCGACUGGGCAUCUACUGACGCUGAGGUGCGAGAGCGUGGGGAGCGAACCGG
This 253-nucleotide ribosomal RNA is filed under the name uncultured bacterium. Its description in RNAcentral is "partial 16S ribosomal RNA". It matches the Rfam family "Bacterial small subunit ribosomal RNA", at positions 524 to 776 of the family's 1533-position model. The record is from RNAcentral.